RNAcentral lists this ribosomal RNA (440 nucleotides) under Clostridioides sp. ZZV15-6388. Its description in RNAcentral is "bacterial SSU rRNA". It matches the Rfam family "Bacterial small subunit ribosomal RNA", at positions 338 to 795 of the family's 1533-position model. Lineage: Bacteria; Bacillati; Bacillota; Clostridia; Peptostreptococcales; Peptostreptococcaceae. The record is from RNAcentral.
CCUACGGGAGGCAGCAGUGGGGAAUAUUGCACAAUGGGGGAAACCCUGAUGCAGCGACGCCGCGUGGAGGAAGAAGGUCUUCGGAUUGUAAACUCCUGUUGUUGGGGAAGAUAAUGACGGUACCCAACAAGGAAGUGACGGCUAACUACGUGCCAGCAGCCGCGGUAAAACGUAGGUCACAAGCGUUGUCCGGAAUUACUGGGUGUAAAGGGAGCGCAGGCGGGAAGACAAGUUGGAAGUGAAAUCUAUGGGCUCAACCCAUAAACUGCUUUCAAAACUGUUUUUCUUGAGUAGUGCAGAGGUAGGCGGAAUUCCCGGUGUAGCGGUGGAAUGCGUAGAUAUCGGGAGGAACACCAGUGGCGAAGGCGGCCUACUGGGCACCAACUGACGCUGAGGCUCGAAAGUGUGGGUAGCAAACAGGAUUAGAUACCCGUGUAGUC